AACGAACGCUGGCGGCAUGCCUAACACAUGCAAGUCGAACGGGAUCCUAGCUUGCUAGGUGAGAGUGGCGGACGGGUGAGUAACACGUGGGAAUCUGCCUUUUGGUUCGGGAUAACCGCGGGAAACUGCGGCUAAUACCGAAUGCCCUCGAGAGAGGAAAGAUUUAUCGCCAGAAGAGGAGCCCGCGUCCGAUUAGGUAGUUGGUGGGGUAAAGGCCUACCAAGCCGACGAUCGGUAGCUGGUCUGAGAGGAUGAUCAGCCACACUGGGACUGAGAUACGGCCCAGACUCCUACGGGAGGCAGCAGUGGGGAAUAUUGGACAAUGGGGGCGAACCCUGAUCCAGCAAUGCCGCGUGAGUGAUGAAGGCCUUAGGG
RNAcentral lists this ribosomal RNA (375 nucleotides) under uncultured bacterium. Its description in RNAcentral is "bacterial SSU rRNA". It matches the Rfam family "Bacterial small subunit ribosomal RNA", at positions 29 to 422 of the family's 1533-position model. The record is from RNAcentral.